RNAcentral lists this ribosomal RNA (411 nucleotides) under uncultured archaeon. RNAcentral's name for it is "bacterial SSU rRNA". It matches the Rfam family "Archaeal small subunit ribosomal RNA", at positions 330 to 747 of the family's 1478-position model. The record is from RNAcentral.
GUGCAGCAGGCGCGGAACCUCCGCAAUACACGAAAGUGUGACGGGGUUACCCAAAGUGUUCAAUUUUGAACUGUGGUAGGUGAGUAAUGUCCCCUACUAGAAAGGAGAGGGCAAGGCUGGUGCCAGCCGCCGCGGUAAAACCAGCUCUUCAAGUGGUCGGGAUAAUUAUUGGGCUUAAAGUGUCCGUAGCCGGUUUAGUAAGUUCCUGGUAAAAUCGGGUAGCUUAACUAUCUGCAUGCUAGGAAUACUGCUAUACUAGAGGACGGGAGAGGUCUGAGGUACUGCAGGGGUAGGGGUGAAAUCUUAUAAUCCUUGUAGGACCACCAGUGGCGAAGGCGUCAGACUGGAACGUGCCUGACGGUGAGGGACGAAAGCCAGGGGAGCGAACCGGAUUAGAUACCCCUGUAGUCC